This 68-nucleotide transfer RNA is filed under the name Synodus macrops (triplecross lizardfish). Its description in RNAcentral is "tRNA-Tyr". It matches the Rfam family "tRNA". From Rfam's summary of the family: Transfer RNA (tRNA) molecules are approximately 80 nucleotides in length. Their secondary structure includes four short double-helical elements and three loops (D, anti-codon, and T loops). Further hydrogen bonds mediate the characteristic L-shaped molecular structure. tRNAs have two regions of fundamental functional importance: the anti-codon, which is responsible for specific mRNA codon recognition, and the 3' end, to which the tRNAs corresponding amino acid is attached (by aminoacyl-tRNA synthetases). tRNAs cope with the degeneracy of the genetic code in two manners: having more than one tRNA (with a specific anti-codon) for a particular amino acid; and 'wobble' base-pairing, i.e. permitting non-standard base-pairing at the 3rd anti-codon position. Lineage: Eukaryota; Metazoa; Chordata; Actinopteri; Aulopiformes; Synodontidae. The record is from RNAcentral.
GGUAGGGUGGCUGAGUCAAGCGGUGGAUUGUAGCUCCAUGCACAGAGGUUAAAGUCCUUUUCCUAUCA